RNAcentral lists this long non-coding RNA (8808 nucleotides) under Equus caballus (horse). RNAcentral describes it as "lncRNA (ENSECAG00000058761.1)". The record is from RNAcentral. Lineage: Eukaryota; Metazoa; Chordata; Mammalia; Perissodactyla; Equidae.
GGGGCUCAGGGGCUGGGGGGCCCAACCCAGGGAAAUGCACGCUCGCCUGACCACAAUCUUCCCCUCGAGCUGGGCCCCGCGCGGGACCUGUCGUUGCACCGUCUGGAACCGCCGCCAGGGGGUGCGGGAGCCCAGCCCCCACGUGCGCGGGGCUCGGAGCCGAGCCGGCACCUGCGGGGGGUCACCUGGCGGUCAGGCCCGGGCGGGGGCUCCGAGCCCAGCUUCGGAGAGAAAUCUCUCAUCCUCACUGCCCACUCCUCUCCUCGACUUCGAAACGUGCUUCCUCCUCGAGCAAAUUGACUUUCAUUAGAGGCCUGCCGACCGCUGAUAACGCACCAGCCUGCGCGCAUCUCCAAAACCUCGCGCCGGGUGGAAGACGCCAGACACGAAAGAACACAGCUGCGCGGUUCCGUGUAUACGAGGCCGCAGCAUAAGCCAAUCGAUCUCCGAUGGGAAAUAUCAGGACGGCGGUGGACGCAAGCUGGGGUGGGAGGACCGACCGGGCAGGCGCACGAGGGUGCUCUUGGGCUCUGGAGGCCAGGAGUCUGAAGUCAGGCCGUGCCCCGCUCUGCAGGCUCCCGCGAAGAAGCCUUCCUCACCUCUCCAGCCCUGGGGGGGCCGGCCACCCUUGGCCUGGGGCUGCUCCACUCCAGGCUCUGCCUCUGUCUUCGGUGGCCUUCUUCCCCCAUGUGUGUCCGCGUCCGGAUCGCCUUCUCUUUUCCCUUAUAAAACACCUGUCGUUGGAUGUAGGGCCCACCCUAAUCCUGCCUGACCUCAUCUUAACUGGGUACAUCUGCAAGGCUCUAUUUCCACAUGAGGUCGCAGUCACAGGUGCCGAGAGUCAGGACUUGACUAUAUCUUUUUGAGGGAAACAAUUCAACCCACUUUGUGUUCCAUAUCUUGGAAAGAGUGUUUGAAUAACCCAGGGAGAUGCAUUUGCCAAAAAUAAUCUAAAGUACACCUAAGAUUUGUGCAUUUCACUGAAUGUAAGUUGUACAGACAGAGAAACAAAUGUUGAACCCUGUCCCUUUGGUCUCUUUUUUUUUUCAAGAUUGGCACCUCAGCUAACAUCUAUUGCCAAUCUCCUUUUUUUUUCCUUCUUCUCCCCAAAGCCCCCCACUGCAUAGUUGUCUAUUCUAGUUGCAGGUCCUUCUAGUCCUACUAUGUGGGACACCGCCUCAGCAUGGCCUGACGAGUGGUGCCAUGUCCACGCCCAGGAUCUGAACCGGCAAAACCCCAAGCCCCCGAAGCGGAGAGGACGAACCCAACCACCCGGCACGGGCCAGCCCCUUGGUCUCCUUUAACUGGGAACACUUGCUCAGUCUCUCCUCUUUAAUGACCUUGACACUUCUGAAGAGGACAGGCCAGUUAUUUUGUAGAACGCCCCUCCUGUGAGUCUGUCUGAAGUCUCCUCGUGGUUGGACACAGACCAUGCAUCUUUGUCAGGAACCACCCGAGCGGUGGUCUGUCGCCAUCAGGAGACACCCGAGAGCUGUUUGUCCUGUUACUGGUGACGCUAAUAGUGAUCUUGGUCAAGGUGACGUCCGCCAGGUUUCACCACUGUCACGUUACUGUUCUUCUCUUUGUGUGAAUGAGUAUCUUACGGGGAGAUGUACUGUCUAAAUAUCCUGGUACUCCUCAGCCUUCACCCACUGAUUUUAACAUCCAUUCCUAUGCUUGCUUCAGUCUAUCUACUGCUGUGUAAUAAAUGACCCCGAAACUUAGCAGCUUAAAAUAAUAAUCGUUCAUUUUCUCACUGUUUUGUGGGUCAGGAGUGGUUUGGCUGGAAGGUUCUUGCUUCCGAGGUGAGUCUCUCAGAAGUUGCCAACUGGGGCGUCAAGGUGUCAACUGGGGUGACAGUUAUCUGAAAGCUCAGCUGGGGUCGGGGCUUCACUUCCCAGGAGAAAUAUACUGUGAGCCAUCAAUGGGAACCACAUGUUUAAUUUUAAAUCUUCUAAUAGCUACAGUUUAAAACGUAGAAAAGUAUACAGGUGAAAUCUAUUUUAGUAAUAUAUUUUAUGUAACCCAGUAGGUCUAAACUCGUCUCAUUUCAACAUAGAAGAGGAGAGUGUUGAAGGAUUUGUGGACACCAUGCCCCCAUUUAUUUAUUCAUUUAUAUCUGUAGGGACUUUAUUUUAUCCAUGGGUUGUAACUCCAUCCAUACCAUUAUUUAUUUUGGUGCUCAAAUUGACCCAGAUUUGGCCAGCGUAAGCUCCUUUCAGUGGCUUCUGUGUUCUUUCAUCGUUUCCAUAUUUUCUGGCACAAUAAGAUGUUCCAGGCUCCAUUUCAGCUUCUCGGACCCCAGCCUGGUUCCUUUCCGUGCAGAAUGCCAUUCUGAAACCAUAAUCUGCGUGCUACCCAACUUUUUGAUUGUUACCACUCUGCUAGGUGUGGAGUGACGUCUCCUGGCUGUUUUCAUUUGCAUUUCCUCUGACGGGUGAGUUUGAGCCUUCUUCACGGCUUGUGGUUUUCCUCUUCUGUAAAUUGCUCUUCUCAUCCUUUGUCCUUUUUCCACUGGGCUGCUGGCCCUCUCUGGUGUUUAUUUGCAAGUUUCCUGCAUAUUCUAAGCUUUGCAAUCUUAGGCAAUGAAUAUCUUCACACUCUGACAUCUGUUUGCUUCGUCCAUGGCAUCCUUUGGCUAGAAUUCCUUAAUUUGGAUGUAAUCAAAAUAACUGUUGUAAUGGUUUUUUGCCUUUUAACUUUUGUGCUUUUUUGAUUGUGGUAAAAUAUAGAUAACAAAAUUUACCAUUUUUGUUAUUUUUAAGGGUACGAUUCAGUGGCAUUAAAUACAUUCACGAUGUGCAACCAGCACGACCGUCCAUGUCCAGAACUUUUCCAUCAUCCCAAAGAGAGACUCUGUGCCCAUUAAACAGAGCCCCCCCCCCACCCCCUGGAAACCUGUGACCUACUUUCUGUCUCUGUGACUUUCACUCUUCUAAGUGCCUCAUAGAAGUGGAAUCAUACAGUAUUGGUCCUUUUGUGUCUGGUUUAUUUCUCUUAGCAUAAUGUUUUCAAGAUUCAUCCAUUUUGUAGGAUGUGUCAGAAUUUCAUUCCUUUUUAAGGCUAACUAAUGUUCCACUGUAUGCAUGUAACGAAUUUUGUAUGUCCACUCGUCUGUCAAUGGAUAUUUGGGGUGCUUCUGCCUUUUAGCUAUUACGAACAAUGCUGCUAUGAACACGAGUGUACAAGUAGCUGUUUGAGUCCAUUUUCAACUCGCUUAGGUAUAUACCGAGAGGUGGAAUUGGGGAUCAGAUGGUAAUUCUCUGUUUAACUUUUUGAGGAGCUGCCAUGCUCUUUUCCGCACCAGCCGCAGCAUUUUACAUGCCCACCACAGUGCACAAGCCUUCCAAUUUCUCCACAUCCUCACCAAUACUUAUUUCCUGUUUUGUUUUUAUAUAUAUAUAUGAUAGCCAUCCUAGUGGGUAUGAAGUGGUAUCUCACUGUGGUAUUGAUUUGCAUGUCCCUGAUGACUAAAGAUGCUGAGCGUCUUUUCGUGUGCCUUUUGGCCAUUUGUAUAUCUUCUUUGGAGAGAUGCCCGUUCAAAUUCCCUGACCGUUUUUGAAUGGCAUGCUUUACAGUCGUGCUUUUGAAAUUUGAUUUAAGUUCUUUCUCACCUCUAGGCAGAAAGAUACUUUCUGACUUUUCUUCUACUAAUUUUGGGGUGGGGGUAAACCUUUUGUGGGUGUGGUAAAAUGUAUAUAAUAUUUUCUUUAGCCAUUUGUAGGUGUCCAAUUCAGCGGCAUUAAUUACGUCCACAGUGCUGUGUAGCCAUCACCACUGUCUGUACCCAAAACUUUUUCAGCAUUCCCAAUAGGAACUCGGUUCCCAUUAAACCAUGACUCCUCAUUCGCUCUCCCUCUGGCUUCUGGCAACCACCAUUCUACUUUCCACCUCUGUGAAUUUGCCUAUCCUAGGUACCUCGUAUGAAUGGCAUCAUACAAUAUUUGUCCUUUUGUGUCUGGCUUAUUGGACUCCGCAUAAUGUUUUCAAGGUCCGUCUAUGUCGUAGCAUGUGUCACAAUUUCAUUCCUUUUUAUGGCUGAAGAGUAUUCCAUUAUGUGGCUAUAACAUCUGCGAAUUUCAUAAUUUUGCGCUCCACUUCCAGUCUUCGCUCCAUCUAGAGUCCGCCUUUGUUUGCAGUGUGGGGUAAAGGUCUAGUUUUAUGGGGACAGGUUCCCCAACACCAUCUCCCAAACGGCUGUCCUUUCCGAGGUGGGCUGUGGGGCUGCCUGACUGGUUUAGUUCUCACAUGUCCGGGGCCUGCUUCGGGCCACUGCUCUGCUCCUGACCUGUUUCUGCCUGUGCCAGCGCCCCGCUGACUUUAUUAUGAUGGGGCAUGCCUUUCGACCGCUGUAGGGCAAGUCUCCUCUUUCCUAUUCUUUUUUAAGGCUGUGGCUAAGUUCUUUCCAUGCCACAUCUCAUCAAAUCCUCAGAGCAACCCUGAGUCGAAGGCACGAUCCUUAUCCCCACAAGACAGGUGAGAGAAUUGAGGCCUCUGGGAGGGGAAGCGACUUGCUGAAGUUUACAGAGCUGACAAGUGGCAGAGCUAGGACAAAAGGAGACCUGCCUGACUCGAGGGCCAGCCUUUGAUCCCUAACACCCAGCUGCCUCUGCCAUCUGCAGGCUGCCCGGCUUUUAUCUGUAAGAAGGACAAAGGGGCAAGAGAGGCCUUCUGGGCUGGCCGCUUGCCAGUUAGCUCUCAGGUCCUUUCCUCAUAUCGGGAAAGGAAACCACUGAGCGUUUACACAGACAGACUUUCCAGCAGAGAACGCGGUACCGAGAUGACGGAGGGGCCCAGAAGCCAAACAAGAGACGGUGAAGCAGCUCAGAGAUUUCAGCAGAAAGCCAUUGCCACCUUGAAGCUGGAGGGAUGGCAGGAGGAGGUAACAUUACAGUAGCCCUGUGGUCACUCUGCGAAGCUGGAAGCACUGUGGACUGUCCUGCGAGGGCUGGAGCCCUGGGGGAGACACCACGGUUGAUGGAGAUGCAGCCCAAGAUGUCAGAAGAGAGGGAGAAAUAUUCUGCUUCUCCCUUCCUCCAGCCUCCUGUCUCCCAUCAUGACCACCUAUUGGCCAAUGGGAAGUCAGCCCACCCGGAGUCUGGGCAAUGCAGCCGGCAGAGGUCAGCCACUCUGUAAUUCAGUGAAGAAUGGAGGAAGGGCGGGCAAUGGCUCUGAGGACAGAGGAACAGCCCCUACCCAAGAGGCCCUCCCUUCCUGGUCCCAGUUCCCACCAGGCAGCCCCCAUGUGGUUCUAGCCCUGGCUUUUUGUAUCCAGUGACACCACAGCCUCCUUCUGUGCCUCUGGCCUCCGGCUGUGGCCCAUUCCAGGGUGCCUAAUCCUGCCCUUUUGGCGUCUCAGCUCUCCCAUCGUCUGUAUAAGCACUUCCCUGUACGCCAUUCCUUCUGUUUGAAAUGCCCAGAGUGAUCUCCGCUUUCCAGACUGGACCCCAGCUGAUGCACCCGCCACGCCAUAAUUUACAGAAUGGCCGCAGGGGCACCACGUGAAGUUUGUGGAUUGAUGGAGUAAUGAACCAGAGGGCAGGGCAGAAACUAAGUGAGCUGGGUCCCCAAGGCUAGGCAAUCCAGAGGCACACUGGGCCCAGCUUCAGAGCAACCGCGGCAAUCUUGAGACUGGCCUGGAGUCUGCAGAGAUGCUGAGGGUUCACGAGUCGGGCUCCGGGGCAGCCUCUCUCGAGGGCCCUGUGUGCCUGUGUCCUACGUCACCCGUACUCCCCUGCACAGCUGCCAUAAGAAAGGACCGCAGACCGGGCAGCUUAAACCAUGGAAGUUUAUCGUCUUGUGGUUCUGGAGGCUGGAAGUCUAAGAUCAAAGUGUCAGCAGCAUUGGUUCCCUCUGAGGCCUCUCUCCUUGGCUUGUGGAUGGUUGUCCUCUCCCUGUGUCUUCACAAGGUCAUCCCUCUGUGUGUGCCCGUGACCUCAUCUCCUCUUCUCACAGGGACACCGGUCCUAGUGGAUUCGGGCCCACCCUCAUGACCUCAUUUUACCUUAACCACCUCUUCAAAAACCGCUCUCCAAACACAGUCCCAUUGGAGGUCCUGGGGGCUAGGACUUCAAUACAUGGAUUUGGGGGGACACAGUUCAGCCCGUAACAACCCCCAAUAUCACAGGGUGGGCAUUAUUGGCCUUGUUUUCCGAAGGACGAAAUGGAGGCUUAGACACUUGUUUGCGCAAGGCCUCCAGAGCUGGGGCCGCUCGGUCCAGGGGCUGCUUCUCCCCCUCCAGGCCCCGGGAAUCUUCUCACUCUCGUGCCUGCCUCAGACCCCAGGAGACGGAUUCCAGUCUCCCUUUAAUUCCUUUCCCGCGUGAUGAGACAAUGACCCAGCGUUUAUUGAGAUUUGCUAUGUGCCAGGUUCGUCCACUGGCGUCUUAUAUGUUGUGCUCCAAGAUGUGGCUCCUUCAGGCCUCUGCUCACACCCUCUCCGAGACGCCCUCCCCGAGCCCGUGUCUGUAAUGUGCCUCCACCCCCAGACCCAUCCCCUGCUUUAUUUUCCUUUACGGUGUCAUCAGUACCUGAAAUUACCUUGUCUGCCUGUUUACUUGUUGAUUGUCUCCCCCACUAGACUGAGAGCCCCAUGAGGGCAGGACCAGGUCCUGGUGCACCCUCAGUGCCUGGAGACUCUCAUCAACCACUGACAUCAGAGGGGCUCAGUGUUGGUUCAAUAGAUGAUGAAUGAAUGAAUUCUCUCUUUGAAUCCUCAUCAGACAUCUCAUUCUCUAGAAGAAGAGACUGAGGGUCAGAGAAAGUCCCUAAUCUGCCCAAGCUCCGCCAGCUAGGAAGUGGUGAAGCUGGAGUUCACACCCGGGUCUCUGCUCUCGACUUCACACCCUGGCCAGUCACCUUGCCUCAGCCGUCCUCCCAAACCUCCCCCUGGUCUAUGGCUUCCCAGACCAUCCUCACAGCUACCCUGAGCCUCUCUGGUUCUGGAAAUUCCCAGUGCCUUGCUGAGCUGGGCUGCAGUGUCAUUCUGUGCCAGCAAGUGUCACCAGAGAAUUCCUCGCGGCCACAGUCAGCUCUCUAGCACUCUAGAACAUGAAUGUGCCGCAGUUUAAUUAAUCACCUUUGAGGAUAUUUCCAGGGUUUUACUCCACAAACCAAGCUACAUCCUUGUACCUGUGUUCAUGGGGUGUGAGGUGAGAAUUUCUCUGGGAAUGGAUUUCUAGAAAUAGAAUUGCAAAGAGCAAUGAAAAUCUUUAAAUUGCACAGAGUCCAUGAAUUUGCUAAGCCUGGUUUGCAACCAAGGAGUGUCAGGCCCAGAGAGGGCACGUGGGUUAUCCAGGGGCACACAGCAAGCGAGGAGAAGGGCCAGGUUUGGAACUAGUUCCUCUGGCCAUAAAUUUUUCCACUGCAUUUGGACGAUGCUUCCACCCAGGCUUGAGUGUGGUCUUUGUGCCUUUUUCCAGGUGCAGGGCUGGAUCUCACGGCUCCCCGUCAUGCACUCAUCCAUACGUUCUUUUAAGAGAUGCACUGGCGAGAUGCAGGCUCCAUGCUGUAAGAAAGGCUCAAAUAACAAGUGUCUCCUAGACACGAAAACAGUUAGUUUUCCCCUCUCACAUCAAUCUGAAUGACAGCAGUGCAGGUCUGGAUGGCGGCUUUGAUGUGGAUCAAGGCUGCCCCAGGGAGAGAAGCCCAAGGCGUCCUCCCCUACACACCAAUCUGUCAUCCUCUGGGAGGCAUAGGACGUCCUGACCUGAUUCAUAGCCAAAGUUAUAGGACCACAGGAAAACCAGACCCGACCCGCACUGAUAUCAUUUUAAUGACAUUUUUACAUGAUCUUUCCUUUGUCUUGUAAAGAGAUAACUCACACACCUCUGCCUUAAAUUUAGCCCUGCCCUCAACCCACUGCAGCUCUUCACUGCCCGUGGGUCCUGUCCCCAUGCUAUUCUCUGAAUACAGGAGCACUACUGCCACACCCUGAGAGUCCAAGAAAUCUUUCUUUCGACUCCUUGGCUCACUGACCCCGCAUCAUUUCUGGUGGCCCGUACAGGGAUCUUGCUUCGCCGGCUUGUGAGUUCAAGUUCUGUUAUAGUGGCCAUUUUGGGCUCCUUUUGAGCUUUGCAACCGAGAAACAAAGGAAUCUUUAAAGAGUCAAAGGCUCCACCCCUGGGAGCUCCCCCUACCCCGGUUUCCAAAAUUAAGAGCUCUAAUUGGCUUAAAAGAAAUUCAUGGAAAGGAUUCUGACACAGGAUUCCAGAAAACACUUUUCUGAUAAACUUUCAGAUCAUAAAACUGAACUGGAUCCCUCCAGAUUUUGGAAACGUAGUGAGGGAUCUGUACACCUUGUCAGCCUUGGACUCCAUGGAUGCAACCUUCCAGUCCACUGAACGUCCUGCCUGUACCCCUAUGGUCCCCAUUUAGGGACAGCUCUACAACCUUGUACGGCCGGGAGUAGUUACAGAAGACUGACCAUUGUCCAUAUCGCCAAAGGAUUUCCAGGCCAAAUGGGUUCAGGGAGGAUUUCAUGAUGAGGAUCAAGGCUGCCCCAGGGAGAGAAGCCCAAGGCGUCCCGGCCUACAUGUCAAUCUAUAUCACCCUCCAGGAAGCAUAGGACAUCCUGAACUGAUUCGACCUGACUCAUAUCCAAAGUUAUAGGACCACCCAAUAACCAGACCCCACCUGCACUGAUACCAUUUUAAUGACUUUUUUACAUGAUCUUUCCUUUGUCUUGUAAAGAGAUAACUCAUACACCUACACCUUAUAAAUUUAGCCCUGCCCUCAAUCCAUUACAGCUCUUCACUGCCCAUGGGUCCUGUCGCCAUGCUAUUCUCUGAAUAAAAGAGCACUACUACC